Molecule: transfer RNA, 63 nt
Filed under: Hyalella azteca
Lineage: Eukaryota; Metazoa; Arthropoda; Malacostraca; Amphipoda; Hyalellidae
Description: tRNA-Trp
Source: RNAcentral
UGAACUUUAAGUUAUUGAAACUAAGAGCCUUCAAAGCUUUAAAAAAGCGCUGCUUAAGUUUAA